GCUGGGUGCGGUGGCACACACCUGUAAUCCCAGCAGUCGGGAGACUGAGGCAGGAGGAUUGUGAGUUCAAACUCAGCCUCAAUGGCGGCAAGGUACUAAGCAACUCAGCAAGACCCUGUCUCUA
RNAcentral lists this small RNA (124 nucleotides) under Marmota monax (woodchuck). Lineage: Eukaryota; Metazoa; Chordata; Mammalia; Rodentia; Sciuridae. The record is from RNAcentral.